This 219-nucleotide long non-coding RNA is filed under the name Lathyrus oleraceus (garden pea). Its description in RNAcentral is "Pisum sativum (pea) long non-coding RNA (PSAT_LNC018748)". Lineage: Eukaryota; Viridiplantae; Streptophyta; Magnoliopsida; Fabales; Fabaceae. The record is from RNAcentral.
UAAAAUAUAACAGAAAUUUUUUGGACUUGGGCCUCUCUCAUUUGAGCCCACAGGUCCACAAAAAUCAGGUUAUAAAUUCAGAGUUUCAGUGAAACAAAAGGGAAUUUUAUUCCUAUUACCCUGGCAGGAAAAAAGAUAGUGAGAGAAGAGCUAACAGAGUUCAGAGCAACCUCCAGAGACUGAAGGGAACUCAUCGGCAAAGAACCAAUUCCCUCUCAU